AAUACUGCUUUUCCUUUCAUUAUAUUUUACAAAGAAACAAACUCAUAAAAUGUACGCAGGUCUUAUCUUUACCUCGAGAGGUAGCGGUAAUACUUCUUUUUCUGUCAUUAUAUUUUACAAAUAAGCAAACUCAUAAAGUGUACACGCAUCGACCUUAUCUCUACCUCGAGAGGUAGCGAUAAUACUUCCUUUCCUUUCAUUAUAUUUUACAAAGAAACAAACUCAUAAAAUGUAUGCAGAUCGACCUUAUCUCUACCUCGGGAGAUACUGGUAAUACUUCUUUUCCUUUCAUUAUAUUUUACAAAGAAACAAACUCAUAAAGUGUACGCAGAUCUUAUCUCUGCUUCGGGAGGUCGAGGUAAUACUUCUUUUCCUUUCAUUAUAUUUUACAACGAAACAAACUUAUAAAGUGUACGCAGAUCUUAUCUCCACCUCGGGAGGUCGAGGUAGUACUUCUUUUCAUUUCAUUGUAUUUUACAACGAGACAAAUUCAUAAUGUGUACGCAGAUCUUAUCUUUACCUCGAGCGGUCGAGGUAAUACUUCUUUUCCUUUCAUUAUAUUUUACAACAAAACAAACUCAUAAAGUGUACGCAGAUCUUAUCUCCACCUCGGGAGGUCGUGGUAGUACUUUUCAUUUCAUUAUAUUUUACAACGAAACAAAUUCAUAAAGUGUACGCAGAUCUUAUCUUUACCUCGAGCGGUCGAGGUAAUACUUCUUUUCCUUUCAUUAUAUUUUACAACGAAACAAACUCAUAAAGUGUAGGCAGAUCUUAUCUCUACCUCAGGAGAUACAGGUAAUACUUCUUUUCCUUUCAUUAUAUUUUACAAAGAAACAAACUCAUAAAGCAUACACAGAUCUUAUUUCUGCUUCGGGAGGUCGAGGUAAUA
Molecule: long non-coding RNA, 889 nt
Filed under: Capsicum annuum
Lineage: Eukaryota; Viridiplantae; Streptophyta; Magnoliopsida; Solanales; Solanaceae
Description: long non-coding RNA (CANN_LNC012282)
Source: RNAcentral